UCGGGAAUUUUGCGCAAUGGACGAAAGUCUGACGCAGCAACGCCGCGUGAGGGAUGACGGCCUUCGGGUUGUAAACCUCUUUUGUCAGGGAAGAUGAUGACGGUACCUGACGAAUAAGCCACGGCUAACUACGUGCCAGCAGCCGCGGUAAUACGUAGGUGGCAAGCGUUGUCCGGAUUUACUGGGCGUAAAGAGCGCGCAGGCGGUCGUUCAAGUCGCGUGUGAAAGCCCCCGGCUCAACUGGGGAGGGUCACGCGAUACUGAUCGACUCGAAGGCAGGAGAGGGUAGUGGAAUUCCCGGUGUAGUGGUGAAAUGCGUAGAUAUCGGGAGGAACACCAGUGGCGAAGGCGACUACCUGGCCUGUUCUUGACGCUGAGGCGCGAAAGCUAGGGGAGCAAACGGGAUUAGAUACCCCGGUAGUCCUAGCCGUAAACGAUGGACACUAGGUGUUGGUGGUAUCAACCCCGCAGUGCCGAAGCUAACGCAUUAAGUGUCCCG
Molecule: ribosomal RNA, 499 nt
Filed under: uncultured Acidobacteriota bacterium
Lineage: Bacteria; Pseudomonadati; Acidobacteriota
Description: bacterial SSU rRNA
Rfam family: Bacterial small subunit ribosomal RNA
Source: RNAcentral